CUGCAUCCUGCUUUCCUCCGCUAACAAGCUGCAGAGGAUUGAGGAAGUGGAGCGGUCUGGGACCCAGGGCAGGAAGCUUGGGGCCGGAGUCCCAGCAUCCGGACUGCAACAAUGGAAGCUUCAAGCACCAGGAAAAGAGACAGACACAGACAGAGGCAGAGGGAGAACAAAUCAGUCAGAGAGGGAACGAGAAACAGAGGCAGAAAUACAGAAAGGCAGACAGAGAGAGAGAUUCCAAAAGUAACAGAGAAAGGCAGGAACAAAGAAAGAGAAACAGUGACAGAGACACGGAGAGAAAGCAACAGAAAGGGGCGGAGGACAAAGAGAAGCAGAAAGGGAACAAGACAGAGAAAGAGAAACUGAUAACAGGCGGAAGUCAUUGAGGAAAGGAGAACUCGGGAAUGUUGGUCAUGAAACUAGAGACAGAGACAGAGCAGGAGAUAACAAAAGAAUAAGAGAGAAGGAAAGACUGAGAACGAUUAUAAGGAGAAACUGAGAGAGGCUCACUAAGAAACGGAAAAGGAGAAAGUAUAAGAAUGAGUUUAGGGCAAAGGGCCCUCUAAACCUCUCUCCCUCUCUCUCUCUCCCGCUCUUCCUCCCGGCCCCCCCGCCCCCGGGGGGGGCGGGCCCUUCUCUCUGCUCCCUAUCCCACACCGUUAGGUUUCUACAGCUCUGGGCUGGGAGCCAAGACUCGCUUCUCUUCUGCUACCUCAGACGACACCUGCCAGGAGAGAGGAACGGGGUGCCUGUGUACCAGAGCAAGAUGAGGUGCCCAGGCCUGGCAGAGAGACCUCUGUCUUCCCAAUACCUCUCAAACAGCAAGGUGAGCUGCCCAGGGGCGUUAGGGAGGGGCAACUCUGAUGCCCCUCACCACCAAAGCCCCUCUAAUUUGGAUGUCCCACUCCACCCCACCUGGAUGUCAAAAGGCCACGCCCUGUCUUCUUAGACCCCUGGGCUUUCACCUGUGGCCAGGAUGAGGGAAGUCCCUGGAUCAGGAACAGAAAGCCACCACCACCGCCCAACCCAUCCUCUAGUUACCUGGCCCUAGGCCGCUCACUUGCAGGCUGGGUGGCUGGACCGAGUCACAUAAUGUUCCACUGUUACCCCAGCAGCUGGGACAACCAUUGAGACCUCUCCUCCCAAAUAGGCACCCUUGAGGAGGUUGGAGAUGAAGGGCUGGGACAGAGUCUUCUUUGCUGGGGGCGACAGCCUGCUAGGGACUCAACAGCAGUUUCCUUAGAAGGAAGCGGCGCAGUUUGGAAGCCGUGUCAGGCGCCGAGAGCGCCUCUGAACCCGAGCCUGGGAGGGGAGAGAGAGAAGAGGAGACGCAAAGGGGCUGCUCUUUGGCCCCAUUCCCCGACCUUGGAGGAUUCCUCCCCUCCCCCCCCCCCCAGGCGGCUGCAGUCCCCCCCACUGAGAACGCGACCUCCUCGCCUGGACUCCCGGCUCCGCGGAUUCGGUCUCCCUGACCAGAGCCCUUUCCACCCCACCCUAGCGCUUCCAGUCCCAACCACUGGAGACCUAGUCGAGCGAAGUGGGGAAAGGGCACCCAACGAGGGACCCAGAAGAGCCUGAUGGCCCUAAGAAGUUAGUAGACUUUCUUCCCACUUGUCCUUCCAGCUCCCCCACCCCCCCCCCCCACACACACACACACACCCUAUCCCCAGGGCUCAUCUGGGCCCUGGUCCACUCUGCCUUCCAGAGAACUGUAUCAACCGAACUCCUGGGGAAGGAGGUGCUAAGCCCCUUCUUCCUUCCUGGAUGCUUGUUUCCACUGCCCGACUCCCUCCCCAGAGGAAGAUUGACCAGGGAGAUUGCCACCCGUCGUUGUGCAAAUUGUGCAUCGCACAACUCCUAUUUCUCUCGUAGCCCCUUGUAGAUUUGUGUAGCUGUUAUGACAGUUUUCCAGCAGGUGGCAGACAAGCAUUUCCAGGUAGGGGUGUCUUUUCCUAAUUCGACCAGCUUUGCUAUUUGGGCUAGCUAGGGGCUAGCUAGGUCCUCUGUGAGAUCCUGCUGGUGCCUGUUUCCCCCACGCUCGCCUCAGUCCUGCUGGGAUUGGGAGGGACCCUACAGUAACAUUUGAGUAGGGACCUGUCUCCUGGGUUCUCUCUCUGGUCCCCAGUUCCCUAGGUACCCAUCUAUCCUCCCCCACAAAGCUUUCUGCUGUCCUGGAGCUGGUUUCAGGAUGCCUGAGGGGUAAGGGUGCCUGUCAGGGCAUAAUAGGUGACCUACCAUGGAUUUUUUUUUUUUUUUUUUUUUGGCUUGGCCUAUAAAGCUACAAGGCAGCCAAGCCAAAGUACAGAUCAGAGACCAUCUUCCAGACUCCCAGGACAGCGAUCUUUCAGUCUCCCAGCAAGUAGGCCCCCUUCCACUUUCUCCAAGUGUAAACUGUCCAGGUGAUAGGAAGAAGAGAGGGGCUGGAAGCUGAACUUGUAGGGACAGAACACAAAAGUUGCAAACUGACGGCACCUACUGGCAACUAUCAAGACUGCAGAAGAUCUGGAGAGUUCUGACGGGGCAGGAGGGCCCGGGGACAAGAUUCUGGGAUUCUCUCCCUGCUAUCUCACAGACAAACUGGGGUCUUUUCUGUCUUGGAUAAGGGCAAACAGAGCCAGGCUCUUUACGUCCCCGGGGGAAGCCCAGCCUGCACCUGAUUCAGAAAACUUCCCCUAGCUCUAUCCCCCUAUCCCCCUCCAUCAUCACUGAGGCGCCAACGUAUUGUAUGAACUUGGACCCCACCCCUUGGAGCUGGAAUUGUCCCUAACUAUAAAAUGGAGGUACAUCAUCUCCACCUAUUCUGCCUCUUGAAGCGCUUGUGGGAAUAAAAUGGGAACUGAAAGGAUGGGUUCCAACCACAAAGCCAGACUUGCCCCCUUGACAGCAAACCUGAGAGAGCUAAAGGUGCUGGGACAUGGAGGAAGGAGUUGCAGGAGAGGCUGGACUGAAGCCAAAAGAAGGACCUGGAAGUGAAGCAUGAGUGCAGCCUUCCAAACAGCUGUCAGAAGUACUCUAAACAAUUGCUGAGGGAAAAAGACUAUGGUACAGAGUGCAAGAUGGGUGCAGAGAAGGAGAGUGGAAGUGGCAUUGGCAUGGAAAUGGAUCCCAGAACUCCCCAGAGCUUUGGCUUCCCAACCCCUCCCUGGCGCCCUGGACUUCCCACUGUGCCUGCCCGGAAUAGGGGGGCUCAACUCCCUUCCAGGUUGGCUGAUGUCCAGACCCCAGGUAGAGCAUCCUCCAGGGGGCGCUGCAGGUGUGCUCUGAGCAAUGGCACAUCAGUACAGCUGCCUCCUUGUGCACCGGGGCCCCAUACUUGGAGAGAACAGAUCAGGAGAGCUAGGAUCUCCAUAGAGACCCCAUAGUACAGAAGGAAGUCUGGUUCAGAGGCUAGAGCCUCGGUCCUUCCCUCAGGACACGUAGCUCGAGAAAAGGACACCCAGACAGAGGAUGGGGAGUGGAGAGGAGAGCCCAUCUGCAGUUGAGCUGGCCAGGAUCUGGUUUCAUAUCUCCAGUCCAACCAGCUUGGCCACUUGCCAGCUUUGUGGCCACUUCUCCUUCCUCAGCUUCAGUUUUAUCAUCUGUAAAAUGGGGGAGGGGAACUCCUUGAAUUGUGAGCCCCCUUCCCAGCUUGGGCAGUCUAGGAAUCUAGAAUCUCUGGAGUCUUUUUGCCUGGCCCCAGGCCCUAUGCCGGCAUGGCUCCCAACCCCCCAGAGUUUGCAGUUUCCAAGCCAACUGACACCCAUGGAAUCACUUUCUCAUUGGUCAAAAAAUGUGUAGGAGACAAGCCAAGUGAAUGCUGUUGAGUCCUAUGAGAGUUCUGUCACUGCCCAGAAAGGUGACGAGGCUCACUCAAGGGCAUACAGCUAGUAAUUAAUACAGCCAAGACUUAAGCCAAAUAUAUUUACUACCUGCUACA
Long non-coding RNA from Herpailurus yagouaroundi (jaguarundi), 3913 nucleotides. RefSeq lists it as uncharacterized. Lineage: Eukaryota; Metazoa; Chordata; Mammalia; Carnivora; Felidae. The transcript has 3 exons. The record is from RefSeq and is a predicted model, not a curated record.